GAGUCCGUAGCUCAGAUGGUAGAGUGCCAGAUUGUGGCUCUGGUGGUCGUGGGUUCGAAUCCCAUCGGUCUCCCUA
RNAcentral lists this transfer RNA (76 nucleotides) under Candidatus Segatella violae. Its description in RNAcentral is "tRNA-His". It matches the Rfam family "tRNA". Rfam says of the family: Transfer RNA (tRNA) molecules are approximately 80 nucleotides in length. Their secondary structure includes four short double-helical elements and three loops (D, anti-codon, and T loops). Further hydrogen bonds mediate the characteristic L-shaped molecular structure. tRNAs have two regions of fundamental functional importance: the anti-codon, which is responsible for specific mRNA codon recognition, and the 3' end, to which the tRNAs corresponding amino acid is attached (by aminoacyl-tRNA synthetases). tRNAs cope with the degeneracy of the genetic code in two manners: having more than one tRNA (with a specific anti-codon) for a particular amino acid; and 'wobble' base-pairing, i.e. permitting non-standard base-pairing at the 3rd anti-codon position. The record is from RNAcentral. Lineage: Bacteria; Pseudomonadati; Bacteroidota; Bacteroidia; Bacteroidales; Prevotellaceae.